GACGAACGCUGGCGGCGUGCUUAACACAUGCAAGUCGAACGGUGACGAGGAGCUUGCUCCUCCGAUCAGUGGCGAACGGGUGAGUAACACGUGAGUAACCUGCCCCAGACUCUGGGAUAACAGUUGGAAACAGCUGCUAAUACCGGAUACGAGACGGAGAGGCAUCUCUACCGUCUGGAAAGUUUUUCGGUCUGGGAUGGACUCGCGGCCUAUCAGCUUGUUGGUGAGGUAAUGGCUCACCAAGGCGACGACGGGUAGCCGGCCUGAGAGGGCGACCGGCCACACUGGGACUGAGACACGGCCCAGACUCCUACGGGAGGCAGCAGUGGGGAAUAUUGCACAAUGGGCGAAAGCCUGAUGCAGCGACGCCGCGUGAGGGAUGACGGCCUCGGUUGUAACCGUACUUUCCUAGCAGGGAAGAAGCGAAAGUAGACGGUACCUGCAGAAGAAGACACCGGCGUAACUACGUAGCCAGCAGCCGCGGUAA
RNAcentral lists this ribosomal RNA (487 nucleotides) under uncultured bacterium. RNAcentral describes it as "bacterial SSU rRNA". It matches the Rfam family "Bacterial small subunit ribosomal RNA", at positions 28 to 523 of the family's 1533-position model. The record is from RNAcentral.